CCCAUUUCUCCCCCUCCUCCAAGGUGCAGCCCUCCCGUGUGGUUCUCCGUCGUGUGGCUGCGAUCUCAAUUGGAGUUUGGAGGGAGGAAGAAGGAAGGAGGAAGGGAAGAACCUAAGGUGAAUUUGUGAUUAACUUUUGUUGUUUUUGUGCUGCAAUCAAUUCGAUUAUGUGUUUAUCUUUGCGAAUCGGUAGAGGUGCUGUCCAGGAAUUUUGUGAGUGGGUGAACAGCAGUAGUUCUAGGGAUUUCUGGGAAUUUUCGUGGGGUAAUUAGUGGGAAUCAGUGGGAUAAUCAUGUAGAGCUUUGUCAUACCUUUCCAACGAGUACUUAUGCGCUCGAUUCGGAGUUAUAAUUUAGGAGAUAUCGUUGUUUGAAUCCGGGUAUGUUGCUGUCCAAAAAAACAGAUUUUUCAGGUGGGUGAACAGCAGUAGUAUUAGCAGUUUCUGGGAAUUUUUCGUGGGUAAUUAGUAUUAACCAGUAUUAUAAUCAUGUAGGGCUUUGUCUUAUCUUUCCAAUGAGUACUUAUGUGCUUGAUUUGGAAUUAUAUUUUAAAAGAUAUCGCUGUUUGAAUCCGGGUAUGUUGCUGUCCAAAAAAAAACAGAUUUUUCAGCUGGGUGAACAGCAGUAGUAUUAGCAAUUUUUUGGAAUUUUUCGUGGUUAAUUAGUGCUAACCAGUAUGAUAAUCAUGUAUGGCUUUGUCUUAUCUUUCCAAUGAGUACUUAUGCGCUUGAAUUGGAAUUAUAUUUUAAAAGAUAUCGCUGUUUGAAUCCGGGUAUGUCGCUGUCCAAAAGAGAAAAAACAGAUUACCGGGUUCAUCUUGUGAACUGUUUUGGGCUAAUUAGAUGUUGGAAUUUAAUUAUAAAUUGUAUACAAAACUUGUGGGGAAUUUUAUGUAGAUGCCUCUGGAGUUUUUGUUUGUUACCAAUGCUGUCAUAAUUUUGAAGUUAUGAAAUUAUUAAGCAGCGCUGCUGCAGUUUGGUGGGUGUGGGGAGAGAUGUAACCCGCGGCGGGGUUUGAGUUUGUGCGUAGGUGCGGCGUCAUUUAUGAGCCUGGUUAUGUGAAAUUGGUGCACUAAGUUGUGUGUCAAAAACAGGUGGUGGACUUCCGGAUCGUACUUAGGGAUUUGCCCAAACUUCCGGUAAAGGCAAGUAAAUACAGUGGUGGUUGCUACCGUUUGGUUUGCAUCCUAUUCCCUGUCAUUGAGUAUGCAUAAGUUUUAAAUAUGUUAAUCAUUGAAUUCUAUGAUGAAGUUUAUUUGUUCGAAAGUAUUAAUUCUCAAUUGUCUAAUAUUGUGGAUGAUCAUGAUUUGGUAAUGAUAUAUGUGGUUGAUUCCCAUCAUGGAUGGAGUUGAAGUAUUUUUUUUUUGAAUCACGUUAUAUGAAGUGUUGUAGGCAUGUCAUGCACAUUGCAUCAUCCAUCUUGCAUUCUGAAGUUAUGUCGUGAUCUUAUGGUCCGACUGUACCGGUACAUUUUUAGCAUCGUACGUUGCCCGAGGAGGGGUACGAUGCGGCUUCAUAUCCUUAGAGGUAUGAAGGCAGAAGUCAUCCUUGCAUUUGCAGACAUUUGCACUCAUGAGGUAUAUAUAUGAAGAGUGACAUUACUAUGUUACUAUUGUGGUUUCUACCUGCGAGGUGUGGUAGCUAGGAGUGUUGUACGUUGUAUACGUGCUGCACCUUUGUAAUAAGAAGGUUGUGAAAUCAAGUGGUGGUAAAACAAUAUUCUUAUGUGGUUAAACAGUUUGAUAUUAUUUUACUUGCUGAGAUGUGUCAUCUCACUCUUGCAUUACUCAAUGCAGGUACUUGAUACAUGUUGGGAAUGAGGGGAGUAGCAGCACGUCCACUUUCACUCUCAUAAUAGCGCUGCCCAGGCGUAGCCAUGAUUUAAUUAGAAACUUGUUGUCAAAAGAAGUUUAUUUUUUUGCUAGUCGUGCGCACUGGUUAAUUCAGUUCAUGUCGUAUGCUUAACUUCCCUUUGCUAGCCGAUUAAUAAUACUUGGUAUGUUUUUGUCAUGAUAUAUGUUUAUACACUGUUGUCCCCCCCUCAUUUAUGCAAUUUUGCAAAGGAGAUGCUGCCAAAAUUUUAUAUAGAUGUCAGAAGUGUAGUUCAGUAGCAUUCCGGGGUGUUUGUGGACCCCGGGGUGUUACAGUUGGUAUCAGAGCAUAGGCUUUAGAUUCUACGCAAUUUGAAGAUAAAUUUGACACACUUGCACAUAUAGGAAGGGUAUGGGUUCGUAUAUCUUUCAUAUUAGUAUUUUAUUGUAUAGAUGACUAGAACUUCCUUACUCCAAAUUCCUUUAUGGUUUGAUGGGGUACGUCAUUAAUGACGUAAUGCUUGAUAUGAUAUGUUAUUUCUAUUUAAUAUUGGUUUCUUGAUGUGGUUGUUAUUGAAGAUAUUAUGCAAGUGAAGCUACUACUGUACUUGUUUUAUAUACAUAUUGUCAUGAUGUUUUUUUGAUGCAAUGUUUUCAAAUCUCUGAGCUAUUACUAUCAUAUAUUUCUAUAUGCUUGACUGUGGAUGUUUUUUUCCAAAAGGAUUCUUGGGUUCUAGUACUUGUAGGACCGAUUGUUUAUUGAGCUUGUCUAUAGUAGGUCUAAUCCGACUUGGUGUAGUGUGAAAACACUAUAUAAUGUAGUUUUAUGGUGUUGUUGAGUUUGAUUGACUGUUGGGUUACAACCCAACUUAUCAAUGUAAUAUUUCCAUGGGUGCAAUGCUUUGCGCCUCACUUUUUUGGCUAGUGUGGCUACUUGCUAACUUGAUCUUAGUAUAAAAUUGGUUUGUCUCUAUAGAGCAAAGGCAACAUUGUAAUGUCUAUGAAAUCUUGAGACUGGUAGAACUCAAGUGAAUUUGUAAGAUGACGUAGAUUGAUAAGUCCAACCAUGUUUACCUGAUAGGUUUUCUUAUUAUGUGCAACCUUAUUUUUUUAACAAUAAAUAGGGUGGUUUCAAGUGGAUUUUAUGUCGUGCAUGUUUUCCUUCUAUGGUUUGUUUAAAUAGCCAUAAAGGCUAUGCAUAAUUUUUAGUUGUUGCAGGCUAGUCAUGUGGACGAUAUUGACAACCCAUUUUAUUUUUUUAUUUGCCAACAUUGUAUGGUAGUUUGAUUUUUUUUAUGAUCAGUUUCUCUAUGCAUGCUUGUUGAAUCAUUAUUUGGACCGCUUUAUCUUAAACGAAGUCAAUGCUUAACUGGGAGUUGCUUAUGUUUGUUAGUCAUCUAUCUCUUUAAUGAUGGGGUUGUUGCAUCGGAUUGAGAUUUUUCUUAUAUGAAUGAUGGUUUGAUAGAUCAUGUAUGUCUACUACUUUGAAUGCAUCCUGUGAUAUCACGAGGUACAAAUUGUUCAAGUGCAGUAAUAGUAGGUUUUGUUGUAUGUGAGGUUAAUCAAGGUAGUUUGGUUAUGUGGAUUGUCUUAUUGACAUCCAAUUACUCCUGAUGAGCAUAGUAUCGUGUUGCUAUUUUAGUAUUGAAAGUAAUAUUUAUGAAGCUUUUGCAUGAGUCUGUGUCAAGAAGUACAUUAGUUUUUCUUGUUGUUCUCCCUCCAUUGCUUUAUGAGUAUUGCAAAUUUUAUCUCUUUUGAGAGGAGGAAAAGACGUUACAUGACAUGAGCACCAUUUGCUUCACGUCAACAGAAUAGUUGUGGAGAGCUCUAAUAGUUGGAUUCUAGUGUAAUAACAACCAUGUCUUAUAGUGCUAGAGACGGGUAUGUCAGGUGUUUCAUACAUUGUCGAUACAUGGAUGUUUGACCUUAGUGGCAUUAACAAACGAGGUUGUUUAAUUCGUUGAUUGUUGUGCUUAGUGUUCUAACCUAUUAGGUAAAGUGUUGCUUAAAGGCUUUGGGGAGUUGCAUCCCCAUUUGGUAGUGGAAAAUCCUAGUGUUGAUCGCACCUGCCAAUGCCUUGGGUUUUAUUUUAUAUUGUUUUUUAUUAUGGGUAAGGUGUUGUUUGGUUUUGGGAGUCAUUUUAAAUUAGUUGGAGGCUGAAUCAGGCUUCACUUAUCUAGAAUGUUUUGUAGUAGGCUUCUUCAUCUUUGCAUAGGAUGCUCAAUCACCCAGUUUGGUCUAAACAUUGGAGAGUUAUGGGUUUCCUAUAGCAGCCUUAAUUUUGUACGGAAGUAUAGACAUUGAAGACGGUAAAUUUUGGUUUUUGUUGGAUUAUGAAAGUUUUAGUAAUUUCAUGAUCUUUCCAAAGAUUAUUGGUUUGUAAUUUUCAUUGCAUAUAAUUGGAGUUAGGCUACUCUGAAGUUGUUACACCGUUGUGUCUGAACUUUAGGUGUCGUUAAAACCACCAAUAAAUCGACCGUGUUCUGAUAGUUUCAGAGCCCAAAUUUGGGAAUUCUCUUUAAGAAAAACUUUUAGUUUUUCUAAGUACCUUUUAAUGGGUAUUUACUUGUAAUUGCCUAUUAAAUAGAUUGGGAGAGGUGGUUGUCCGGAUAUAAGUCGAAUCUCUGAUGUGCAGUAUCUCAGGUUGAGUUUAGCUGUAGGUCAUGCAGAGUUGAGGGUUAUAAAGAUAAAUUUGGGUGCAACUUUAUUGCAAAAGUCGUGGACAAUUUCCAAACUUUUCCAACGCAUGUUCGUUGUAGUUUUAAGUUGAGUAUAGCAGGAGUUAUAGGAUUUUGAAUUUUAGUUGUCCAAUAUUUCUAUCCUAUCAGUUUUGCAACAAAGCAGUUGCAUUGUUUUAUCGGUUUGGAAACCAAUUCUGAGACACUCAUUAUAAUAAAAGUUUUAGGGAAUGUUAUAACCUUUUCAAUGAGUUUGUAUUUGCAAAAUUUUGUUAGAUGCAGAUUGGGUGAGUUAUUGGAUGGAUAUAUAUGCAUAGUAUAAUUAAAAAAAAGUGUUCUUCGAUGGAAUGAUAUAAUGUAUAGAAUAUGCUUGGAUGGAUAUAUGGGCAGGCGUAGUAUGCUUAAAUCGAUUCUUGCUUCCAUGAUGUGAGAUAAGGCUUAAAAUGAUUUAAAAAGUUAGCAUAUGGCUUCUAUCUUUACGUUGGCUCUGAGUGUCUCAUAAUGAAGAACCUAAAGUUAUUAGUCCUUCGAUGAACGCUUAAUCUUAGAAGAGUAUAGAACCUGAAUAAAUCUAUUGCUUGUUGUUUGGGACUACAUGACCAGUUUUGGUUAUGCAGCUAGUUCAAUGAAUUAAACCAUGUUUUCUGUAGAAGUGUUGUAUAUAAAAGUUGUAGCCAACUUCUUCAUCUUACUUGUGUAAAAUUUCAUGACCAUAGGUCUAGUAGUUUGGGAGUUAUGAUUUUCUCAAGUCUAGUCUUGGAAUCUGUCCAGAUUCUGUACAGAUUUUGAAACUGACCUUGUUUGCCCAAGUUAAACUUUGAAUCAGUUCUUAUAAAUUAUAAAGAAGUGGAGUACUUUCCUUAAGAUUUCCAACAAAUAUUGGAUCACCCUUUUUGGUGACCUAUAAGUUAAGCUACAACUGUUUUAAGUGGAAUCUUUGAAUCUGUCCAAAUUUGGACAGCAUAGCCUUUCUUAUGUCUUUUGACCUUGAUAUGCAUUGAAUUAACCUGAUAUGUUUAUAAAUGAAAUAUAGACAAUUUUACUGGCUUUCAAAAAAAGUCUAGGAGCGCCUAAAUUGGAUGACUGAGACUCCAAUUAUGGAUUUUUUAAGUGAGUAGUUGAAUUCUGUCCAAGUCUGGACAAAAUUUACGUUUCGCAUUGUUUGUCCUUUCUAAGUGUCAAAUCUUGUGGUGAUGAUAAUACCAAGGGUAUAGUGGACUUUGUAAGCUUUCCAUAAAGUCCUAGUUUACUACUGUUGGAUGCAUAUUUUGUGAGUUUAUGAGCAAAACAAUUAACCGUUGUGCUGAUGUCUAGAAAUAUGCAAGCAUUAAAUUGAUCUUUUGAAGUUACUCUUGUUUGGAUAGGUUUGGUUUAGGCUAUUGGAGCACAGUAUGUAUUGCUUUCAUUAUAUAUAUUCAUUGAAGUACUUGCAUGUGUCAAUGUUGAUUUGGUGUCAGGAAAACUUUGUCCGGGUUAUAUAGGACUGUCUAUUAUCUUAGCCGAGUUGGCAGCUUGGCUUAGCACAUGCAAUUGUCGGAGUCUAUGAUCAGAGUACGCCAUGUAUUCCAUGUCUCUAUGUUGAGAAAGUAUUUGCGGAAUCCAUAUCAAUAAUCGAGCUAGAGUCGAUUCCCAUGUAGCAAGACCUGACUCUAGAGUGUCGUCUGCUGCGUAUCCUAGAAUCCUUGAAGCUCGAGGAGCUGAUGCGGCAGAAGUACCCCGAACUUUUCGUUAUGGGUUGAGUUUUUGUUGUCGCUGAUCUUUCCUUGUCGUUCCGAUAGAAGCGUCGGAAUUCGAGGUCGAAUUCUUUUUAAGGGGGGUAGAGUGUGAUACCCGGUUUGCAAAGAAGAGAAGUUGAAGGUUAUUCUUUUUGUUUGUUUUUUCUCUUAUUCGGGUGUCGCGCUUUGGGGGAUUUAGAAUUUGUGGAAAACAUUCACCAGUAUAGCAGUAGAGUGGUUGGUCGGGAGCUGUCGUGCAAGCGAGUUGGGCCGCGAAUCGCAAUCCGGCCCACUAACCCUCCCCUAACCCUAGCCGCCCCCCCCCUUUUCCCCCUUGGGUUGUUGCAGCCGCCCCUUCCCCUCCCCUUUCUCUUGGACGCCCCCCCUCUCCCAUCUUCUUCCUCCUCAAACCUUUGCAGCCCUCACCACCCAAAACCCUAGCCGCCCCCCCCCCCCCCAUUUCUCCCCCUCCUCCAAGGUGCAGCCCUCCCGUGUGGUUCUCCGUCGUGUGGCUGCGAUCUCAAUUGGAGUUUGGAGGGAGGAAGAAGGAAGGAGGAAGGGAAGAACCUAAGGUGAAUUUGUGAUUAACUUUUGUUGUUUUUGUGCUGCAAUCAAUUCGAUUAUGUGUUUAUCUUUGCGAAUCGGUAGAGGUGCUGUCCAGGAAUUUUGUGAGUGGGUGAACAGCAGUAGUUCUAGGGAUUUCUGGGAAUUUUCGUGGGGUAAUUAGUGGGAAUCAGUGGGAUAAUCAUGUAGAGCUUUGUCAUACCUUUCCAACGAGUACUUAUGCGCUCGAUUCGGAGUUAUAAUUUAGGAGAUAUCGUUGUUUGAAUCCGGGUAUGUUGCUGUCCAAAAAAACAGAUUUUUCAGGUGGGUGAACAGCAGUAGUAUUAGCAGUUUCUGGGAAUUUUUCGUGGGUAAUUAGUAUUAACCAGUAUUAUAAUCAUGUAGGGCUUUGUCUUAUCUUUCCAAUGAGUACUUAUGUGCUUGAUUUGGAAUUAUAUUUUAAAAGAUAUCGCUGUUUGAAUCCGGGUAUGUUGCUGUCCAAAAAAAACAGAUUUUUCAGCUGGGUGAACAGCAGUAGUAUUAGCAAUUUCUGGGAAUUUUUCGUGGUUAAUUAGUGCUAACCAGUAUGAUAAUCAUGUAUGGCUUUGUCUUAUCUUUACAAUGAGUACUUAUGCGCUUGAAUUGGAAUUAUAUUUUAAAAGAUAUCGCUGUUUGAAUCCGGGUAUGUCGCUGUCCAAAAGAGAAAAAAACAGAUUACCGGGUUCAUCUUGUGAACUGUUUUGGGCUAAUUAGAUGUUGGAAUUUAAUUAUAAAUUGUAUACAAAACAUGUGGGGAAUUUUAUGUAGAUGCCUCUGGAGUUUUUGUUUGUUACCAAUGCUGUCAUAAUUUUGAAGUUAUGAAAUUAUUAAGCAGCGCCGCUGCAGUUUGGUGGGUGUGGGGAGAGAUGUAACCCGCGGCGGGGUUUGAGUUUGUGCGUAGGUGCGGCGUCGUUUAUGAGCCUGGUUAUGUGAAAUUGGUGCACUAAGUUGUAUGUCAAAAACAGGUGGUGGACUUCCGGAUCGUACUUAGGGAUUUGCCUAAACUUCCGGUAAAGGCAAGUAAAUACAGUGGUGGUUGCUACCGUUUGGUUUGCAUCCUAUUCCCUGUCAUUGAGUAUGCAUAAGUUUUAAAUAUGUUAAUCAUUGAAUUCUAUGAUGAAGUUUAUUUGUUCGAAAGUAUUAAUUCUCAAUUGUCUAAUAUUGUGGAUGAUCAUGAUUUGGUAAUGAUAUAUGUGGUUGAUUCCCAUCAUGGAUGGAGUUGAAGUAUUUUUUUUGAAUCACGUUAUAUGAAGUGUUGUAGGCAUGUCAUGCACAUUGCAUCAUCCAUCUUGCAUUCUGAAGUUAUGUCGUGAUCUUAUGGUCCGACUGUACCGGUACAUUUUUAGCAUCGUACGUUGCCCGAGGAGGGGUACGAUGCGGCUUCAUAUCCUUAGAGGUAUGAAGGCAGAAGUCAUCCUUGCAUUUGCAGACAUUUGCACUCAUGAGGUAUAUAUAUGAAGAGUGACAUUACUAUGUUACUAUUGUGGUUUCUACCUGCGAGGUGUGGUAGCUAGGAGUGUUGUACGUUGUAUACGUGCUGCACCUUUGUAAUAAGAAGGUUGUGAAAUCAAGUGGUGGUAAAACAAUAUUCUUAUGUGGUUAAACAGUUUGAUAUUAUUUUACUUGCUGAGAUGUGUCAUCUCACUCUUGCAUUACUCAAUGCAGGUACUUGAUACAUGUUGGGAAUGAGGGGAGUAGCAGCACGUCCACUUUCACUCUCAUAAUAGCGCUGCCCAGGCGUAGCCAUGAUUUAAUUAGAAACUUGUUGUCAAAAGAAGUUUAUUUUUUUGCUAGUCGUGUGCACUGGUUAAUUCAGUUCAUGUCGUAUGCUUAACUUCCCUUUGCUAGCCGAUUAAUAAUACUUGGUAUGUUUUUGUCAUGAUAUAUGUUUAUACACUGUUGUCCCCCCCUCAUUUAUGCAAUUUUGCAAAGGAGAUGC
This 8723-nucleotide long non-coding RNA is filed under the name Zea mays. RNAcentral describes it as "long non-coding RNA (ZMAY_LNC003859)". Lineage: Eukaryota; Viridiplantae; Streptophyta; Magnoliopsida; Poales; Poaceae. The record is from RNAcentral.